GACGAACGCUGGCGGCGUGCCUAAUACAUGCAAGUCGAGCGAACGGACGAUAAGUUUGCGUCUCUGAUGUUAGGGGCGGACGGGAGAGUAACAUGUGGAUAACCUACCUAUAAGACGGGGAUAAUUUCGGGAAACCGGAUCUUAUACCGGAUAAUAUUUUGAACCGCAUGGUUCAAAAGUGAAAUUCGGUCUUUCUGUCACUUAUAGCUGGAUCCGCGCUGCAUUAGCUAGUUGGUAGGGUAACGGCUUACCAAGGCAACGAUGCAUAGCCGACGGGAGGGGGUGAUCGGCCACCCUGGAACGUAGACACCGACCAGGCUCCUACGGUAGGGAGCAGUCGGCAAUCUUCCGCAAUAGGCGAAAGCCUUGCGCAGCGGCGCGGCGUGUGUGAUGAAGGUCUUCGGAUCGCAAAAAUCUCUUAUUAGGGAAGAACAUCUGUCUACGUAACUGUGCCCAUCUUGACGGUAACUAAUCAGAAAGCCACGGCUAACUACGUG
RNAcentral lists this ribosomal RNA (497 nucleotides) under uncultured bacterium. RNAcentral's name for it is "partial 16S ribosomal RNA". It matches the Rfam family "Bacterial small subunit ribosomal RNA", at positions 28 to 507 of the family's 1533-position model. The record is from RNAcentral.